RNAcentral lists this ribosomal RNA (669 nucleotides) under uncultured Gammaproteobacteria bacterium. RNAcentral's name for it is "partial 16S ribosomal RNA". Lineage: Bacteria; Pseudomonadati; Pseudomonadota; Gammaproteobacteria. The record is from RNAcentral.
UACCUUGUUACGACUUCACCCCAGUCAUGAACCACACCGUGGUAAUCGUCCUCCCGAAGGUUAGACUAACUACUUCUGGUGCAAUCCACUCCCAUGGUGUGACGGGCGGUGUGUACAAGGCCCGGGAACGUAUUCACCGUGACAUUCUGAUUCACGAUUACUAGCGAUUCCGACUUCACGGAGUCGAGUUGCAGACUCCGGUCCGGACUACGACGCGUUUUGUGAGAUUGGCUCCCCCUCGCGGGUUUGCAGCCCUCUGUGCGCGCCAUUGUAGCACGUGUGUAGCCCUGGCCGUAAGGGCCAUGAUGACCUGACGUCAUCCCCACCUUCCUCCGGUUUGUCACCGGCAGUCUCCCUAGAGUUCUCAGCCGAACUGCUAGCAACUAGGGAUAGGGGUUGCGCUCGUUACGGGACUUAACCCAACAUCUCACGACACGAGCUGACGACGGCCAUGCAGCACCUGUGUCAGAGUUCCCGAAGGCACCAAUCCAUCUCUGGAAAGUUCUCUGCAUGUCAAGGCCAGGUAAGGUUCUUCGCGUUGCGUCGAAUUAAACCACAUGCUCCACCGCUUGUGCGGGCCCCCGUCAAUUCAUUUGAGUUUUAACCUUGCGGCCGUACUCCCAGGCGGUCAACUUAGUGCGUUAGCUGCGCCACUAAGGAUUCAAGAUC